RNAcentral lists this ribosomal RNA (253 nucleotides) under uncultured bacterium. RNAcentral's name for it is "partial 16S ribosomal RNA". It matches the Rfam family "Bacterial small subunit ribosomal RNA", at positions 524 to 776 of the family's 1533-position model. The record is from RNAcentral.
UACGUAGGUGGCAAGUGUUGUCCGGAUUUACUGGGCGUAAAGGAUGCGUAGGCGGAUAUUUAAGUGAGAUGUGAAAUACCCGAGCUUAACUUGGGUGCUGCAUUUCAAACUGGAUAUCUAGAGUGCGGGAGAGGAGAAUGGAAUUCCUAGUGUAGCGGUGAAAUGCGUAGAGAUUAGGAAGAACACCAGUGGCGAAGGCGAUUCUCUGGACCGUAACUGACGCUGAGGCAUGAAAGCGUGGGUAGCAAACAGG